RNAcentral lists this ribosomal RNA (466 nucleotides) under uncultured bacterium. Its description in RNAcentral is "partial 16S ribosomal RNA". It matches the Rfam family "Bacterial small subunit ribosomal RNA", at positions 28 to 507 of the family's 1533-position model. The record is from RNAcentral.
GACGAACGCUGGCGGCGUGCUUAACACAUGCAAGUCGAACGGAAAGGCCCUGCUUGCAGGGUACUCGAGUGGCGAACGGGUGAGUAACACGUGGGUGAUCUGCCCUGCACUUCGGGAUAAGCUUGGGAAACUGGGUCUAAUACCGGAUAGGAGCCAUCUUUAGUGUGGUGGUUGGAAAGUUUUUUCGGGGUAGGAUGAGCUCGCGGGCUAUCAGCUUGUUGGUGGGGUAAUGGCCUACCAAGGCGGCGACGGGUAGCCGGCCUGAGAGGGUGUACGGCCACAUUGGAGACGUAGUAGGGGCCAGACUGCUGAGGGAGGGAGCAGGGGGGGAAAUUGGACAAAGGGGGCCAGCCUGGUGGAGGGACGCCGGGGGGGGGAUGAAGGCCUUCGGGUUGUAAACUCCUUUCGCUAGGGACGAAGCUUUGUUGUGACGGUACCUAGAUAAGAAGCACCGGCUAACUACGUG